Long non-coding RNA from Lycium barbarum (goji berry), 581 nucleotides. RefSeq lists it as uncharacterized. The transcript is spliced from 2 exons. Lineage: Eukaryota; Viridiplantae; Streptophyta; Magnoliopsida; Solanales; Solanaceae. The record is from RefSeq and is a predicted model, not a curated record.
AAAGUCUCAAGACUUUGUGCACCAUUGAACUUUGGAGUUCUUCCGAGGCGCUCGCAAAAAGAGAGAUUCAGCUCCUUCAACAUUGGGCAACACUAAAUGUAAACCAAAUACAGUUUCAAAUGAAAGAUAUCAUUUUGCAAAUUCAAAACAUUACAAGGAACAUUAGCUGCGCGAAGUUCAACAUUGCUAUAGGGAAGCUAAGCAAGUCGCAGAUGCACUAGCCAAAUGAAGCAUUAUUAAUGAAGAGCUGUUGAUUUACUCACACACCAGUCUCCCCUCCACAGCUACUGGGCCUUAUAAAUUGGACCUCAUUCAGAUGGCAUCGCUAAGGCAUAAACAAAAGAGGAACAAUUUUUGUAUAAAUUGGAGUCCAGUUGAUUCUUGAAGCUUUUUUUUUUUUGCCUUAAUACACUGGACCCUUUGUAUAUGUUGUGCAGAACUUGUAAAAUUGUGAUUUAGAUUGUUUAUUCUCCAGCUUGUUCUGUAAUUUAGGGUUGGACUCGUUGCCCCCCACUCUUUGUAAUUUCUUAUUGGUGUUAUAAAAGGUUGCACCAACCUACGGCGGAAUUUUUUUUUUUUUU